GACGAACGCUGGCGGCGUGCUUAACACAUGCAAGUCGAACGGAAAGGCCCUGCUUUUGUGGGGUGCUCGAGUGGCGAACGGGUGAGUAACACGUGAGUAACCUGCCCUUGACUUUGGGAUAACUUCAGGAAACUGGGGCUAAUACCGGCUAGGAGUUCCUGCUGCAUGGUGGGGGUUGGAAAGUUUCGGCGGUUGGGGAUGGACUCGCGGCUUAUCAGCUUGUUGGGUGGGUAGUGGCUUACCAAGGCUUUGACGGGUAGCCGGCCUGGGAGGGGGACCGGCCACAUUGGGCCUGGAAUGCGGCCCGGACUCCAACGGGAGGCAGCAGUGCGGAAUAUUGCACAAUGGGCGGAAGCCUGAUGCAGCAACGCCGCGUGCGGGAUGACGGCCUUCGGGUUGUAAUCCGCAUUCGCCUGUGACGAAGCGUGAGUGACGGUAAUGGGUAAAGAAGCACCGGCUAACUACGUG
Molecule: ribosomal RNA, 468 nt
Filed under: uncultured bacterium
Lineage: Bacteria
Description: partial 16S ribosomal RNA
Rfam family: Bacterial small subunit ribosomal RNA
Source: RNAcentral